Molecule: long non-coding RNA, 651 nt
Organism: Rattus rattus (black rat)
Lineage: Eukaryota; Metazoa; Chordata; Mammalia; Rodentia; Muridae
Exons: 3
Source: RefSeq, a predicted model, not a curated record
AGCGCGCGGGGUGGCCGGGCGGUGGGGCGCGGUCGCUCCGGGGCUAGCGGUCCGGGGCGCGCACGCGCAGUGGCUCACCGGCCACGCCGCGGCUGUUGUGGGUCGGUGGGCGGGGCGGCCGGCUGACAGAGCGAGGCGUCGCCACACCGAGGGCCCUCUCAGGGCUCAGCCUUCCUCAGCGCCAAGCGGCGACGGCUGCGGAGCGUGCAAGCCGCCGUUGCUUCUCCAAGUCGCUGUCUUCCAGUCUCCGGCUAGUGGUCAGCAUGGCCCGUGGAAAUCAAAGAGAAAUUGCCCGACAGAAAAAUAUGAAAAAGACCCAGGAAAUUAGCAAAGGAAAAAGAAAAGAGGAUAGCUUGACUGCAUCUCAGAGAAAGCAGAGGGAUUCAGAGAUCAUGCAACAAAAGCAGAAGGUAGCCAAUGAGAAGAAAUCUAUGCAGACAAGAGACAAAUGAUGACUGGCUUUUUGGAAAACCUGGGUGCUAUUGCCAGUGGGUGCAUCAUAUGCUCUAAGAUCAAAACUUCACAGAGUGACUAAUCAUUACAUGUGUUAUAACUUGUCCUUAUAAAAAUUUCAAAUUUUACUUUUCAGCCUUGCUUGAUGUGAUGUUUUAAGACCAUUCAUCAAAGAAUAAAACCUGACCAUGCACGUAA